UUGGCGGGGUAAUGGCCCACCAAGGCGACGAUCAGUAGCUGGUUUGAGAGGAUGAUCAGCCACAAUGGGACUGAGACACGGCCCAUACUCCUACGGGAGGCAGCAGUAGGGAAUUUUGCGCAAUGGGGGAAACCCUGACGCAGCAACGCCGCGUGAACGAGACGCCCUUCGGGGUGUAAAGUUUUGUCAGUGGGGACGAACGAAUGACGGUACCCACAGAGGAAGCACCGGCUAACUCCGUGCCAGCAGCCGCGGUAAUACGGAGGGUGCAAGCGUUGUCCGGAAUCAUUGGGCGUAAAGAGUUCGUAGGCGGCAUGUAAAGUCAGGUGUUAAAGGCUGAGGCUCAACCUCAGUAUGGCACUUGAUACUUGCAAGCUAGAAUGCGGUAGAGGUAAAGGGAAUUCCUGGUGUAGCGGUGAAAUGCUUAGAUAUCAGGAGGAACAUCGGUGGCGUAAGCGCUUUACUGGGCCGUAAUUGACGCUGAGGAACGAAAGCCAGGGUAGCAAAUGGGAUUAGAUACCCCAGUAGUCCUGGCCGUAAACGAUGGAUACUAGGUGUUGCGGGUAUCGACCCCUGCAGUGCCGUAGCAAACGCGUUAAGUAUCCCGCCUGGGGAGUACGCACGCAAGUGUGAAACUCAAAGGAAUUGACGGGGACCCGCACAAGCGGUGGAACAUGUGGUUUAAUUCGAAGCAACGCGAAGAACCUUACCAGGGCUUGACAUCUGACGAACAUUCUUGAAAGAGAGUGGUGCUCUUCGGAGAGCGUCAAGACAGGUGGUGCACGGUUGUCGUCAGCUCGUGUCGUGAGAUGUUGGGUUAAGUCCCGCAACGAGCGCAACCCUCGUCGUUAGUUGGUGAUAUUGGUACACUGAUAUCGACCUCUCUAGCGAGACUGCCGGUGAUAAACCGGAGGAAGGUGGGGACGACGUCAAAUCAUCAUGCCCCUUAUGCUCUGGGCUACACACGUGUUACAAUGGUUAGGACAGCGAGCAGCGAACCUGCGAGGGUAAGCAAAUCUCUAAAACCUAGCCUCAGUUCGGAUUGCACUCUGCAACUCGAGUGCAUGAAGUCGGAAUCGCUAGUAAACGCAGAUCAGCACGCUGCGUUGAAUACGUUCCCGGGUCUUGUACACACCGCCCGUCACACCAUGGAAGUCGACCACGCCCGAAGUACGUGAGCUAACCGUAAGGGAGCAGCGUCCUAAGGCAGGGUUGGUGACUGGGGUGAAGUCGUAACAAGGUAGCCGUACCGGAAGGUGUGGCUG
This 1265-nucleotide ribosomal RNA is filed under the name human gut metagenome. Its description in RNAcentral is "bacterial SSU rRNA". It matches the Rfam family "Bacterial small subunit ribosomal RNA", at positions 249 to 1520 of the family's 1533-position model. The record is from RNAcentral.